GGGUUGUGAGGUUAAGCGACUAAGCGUACACGGUGGAUGCCCUGGCAGUCAGAGGCGAUGAAGGACGUGCUAAUCUGCGAUAAGCGUCGGUAAGGUGAUAUGAACCGUUAUAACCGGCGAUUUCCGAAUGGGGAAACCCAGUGUGAUUCGUCACACUAUCAUUAACUGAAUCCAUAGGUUAAUGAGGCGAACCGGGGGAACUGAAACAUCUAAGUACCCCGAGGAAAAGAAAUCAACCGAGAUUCCCCCAGUAGCGGCGAGCGAACGGGGAGCAGCCCAGAGCCUGAAUCAGUGUGUGUGUUAGUGGAAGCGUCUGGAAAGGCGCGCGAUACAGGGUGACAGCCCCGUACACAAAAAUGCACAUGCUGUGAGCUCGAUGAGUAGGGCGGGACACGUGGUAUCCUGUCUGAAUAUGGGGGGACCAUCCUCCAAGGCUAAAUACUCCUGACUGACCGAUAGUGAACCAGUACCGUGAGGGAAAGGCGAAAAGAACCCCGGCGAGGGGAGUGAAAAAGAACCUGAAACCGUGUACGUACAAGCAGUGGGAGCACGCUUAGGCGUGUGACUGCGUACCUUUUGUAUAAUGGGUCAGCGACUUAUAUUCUGUAGCAAGGUUAACCGAAUAGGGGAGCCGAAGGGAAACCGAGUCUUAACUGGGCGUUAAGUUGCAGGGUAUAGACCCGAAACCCGGUGAUCUAGCCAUGGGCAGGUUGAAGGUUGGGUAACACUAACUGGAGGACCGAACCGACUAAUGUUGAAAAAUUAGCGGAUGACUUGUGGCUGGGGGUGAAAGGCCAAUCAAACCGGGAGAUAGCUGGUUCUCCCCGAAAGCUAUUUAGGUAGCGCCUCGUGAAUUCAUCUCCGGGGGUAGAGCACUGUUUCGGCAAGGGGGUCAUCCCGACUUACCAACCCGAUGCAAACUACGAAUACCGGAGAAUGUUAUCACGGGAGACACACGGCGGGUGCUAACGUCCGUCGUGAAGAGGGAAACAACCCAGACCGCCAGCUAAGGUCCCAAAGUCAUGGUUAAGUGGGAAACGAUGUGGGAAGGCCCAGACAGCCAGGAUGUUGGCUUAGAAGCAGCCAUCAUUUAAAGAAAGCGUAAUAGCUCACUGGUCGAGUCGGCCUGCGCGGAAGAUGUAACGGGGCUAAACCAUGCACCGAAGCUGCGGCAGCGACGCUUAUGCGUUGUUGGGUAGGGGAGCGUUCUGUAAGCCUGUGAAGGUGUACUGUGAGGUAUGCUGGAGGUAUCAGAAGUGCGAAUGCUGACAUAAGUAACGAUAAAGCGGGUGAAAAGCCCGCUCGCCGGAAGACCAAGGGUUCCUGUCCAACGUUAAUCGGGGCAGGGUGAGUCGACCCCUAAGGCGAGGCCGAAAGGCGUAGUCGAUGGGAAACAGGUUAAUAUUCCUGUACUUGGUGUUACUGCGAAGGGGGGACGGAGAAGGCUAUGUUGGCCGGGCGACGGUUGUCCCGGUUUAAGCGUGUAGGCUGGUUUUCCAGGCAAAUCCGGAAAAUCAAGGCUGAGGCGUGAUGACGAGGCACUACGGUGCUGAAGCAACAAAUGCCCUGCUUCCAGGAAAAGCCUCUAAGCAUCAGGUAACAUCAAAUCGUACCCCAAACCGACACAGGUGGUCAGGUAGAGAAUACCAAGGCGCUUGAGAGAACUCGGGUGAAGGAACUAGGCAAAAUGGUGCCGUAACUUCGGGAGAAGGCACGCUGAUAUGUAGGUGAAGUCCCUCGCGGAUGGAGCUGAAAUCAGUCGAAGAUACCAGCUGGCUGCAACUGUUUAUUAAAAACACAGCACUGUGCAAACACGAAAGUGGACGUAUACGGUGUGACGCCUGCCCGGUGCCGGAAGGUUAAUUGAUGGGGUUAGCGCAAGCGAAGCUCUUGAUCGAAGCCCCGGUAAACGGCGGCCGUAACUAUAACGGUCCUAAGGUAGCGAAAUUCCUUGUCGGGUAAGUUCCGACCUGCACGAAUGGCGUAAUGAUGGCCAGGCUGUCUCCACCCGAGACUCAGUGAAAUUGAACUCGCUGUGAAGAUGCAGUGUACCCGCGGCAAGACGGAAAGACCCCGUGAACCUUUACUAUAGCUUGACACUGAACAUUGAGCCUUGAUGUGUAGGAUAGGUGGGAGGCUUUGAAGUGUGGACGCCAGUCUGCAUGGAGCCGACCUUGAAAUACCACCCUUUAAUGUUUGAUGUUCUAACGUGGACCCGUAAUCCGGGUUGCGGACAGUGUCUGGUGGGUAGUUUGACUGGGGCGGUCUCCUCCUAAAGAGUAACGGAGGAGCACGAAGGUUGGCUAAUCCUGGUCGGACAUCAGGAGGUUAGUGCAAUGGCAUAAGCCAGCUUGACUGCGAGCGUGACGGCGCGAGCAGGUGCGAAAGCAGGUCAUAGUGAUCCGGUGGUUCUGAAUGGAAGGGCCAUCGCUCAACGGAUAAAAGGUACUCCGGGGAUAACAGGCUGAUACCGCCCAAGAGUUCAUAUCGACGGCGGUGUUUGGCACCUCGAUGUCGGCUCAUCACAUCCUGGGGCUGAAGUAGGUCCCAAGGGUAUGGCUGUUCGCCAUUUAAAGUGGUACGCGAGCUGGGUUUAGAACGUCGUGAGACAGUUCGGUCCCUAUCUGCCGUGGGCGCUGGAGAACUGAGGGGGGCUGCUCCUAGUACGAGAGGACCGGAGUGGACGCAUCACUGGUGUUCGGGUUGUCAUGCCAAUGGCACUGCCCGGUAGCUAAAUGCGGAAGAGAUAAGUGCUGAAAGCAUCUAAGCACGAAACUUGCCCCGAGAUGAGUUCUCCCUGACUCCUUGAGAGUCCUGAAGGAACGUUGAAGACGACGACGUUGAUAGGCCGGGUGUGUAAGCGCAGCGAUGCGUUGAGCUAACCGGUACUAAUGAACCGUGAGGCUUAACCUUACAACGCCGAAG
This 2925-nucleotide ribosomal RNA is filed under the name Escherichia coli. Its description in RNAcentral is "partial 23S ribosomal RNA". It matches the Rfam family "Bacterial large subunit ribosomal RNA". Lineage: Bacteria; Pseudomonadati; Pseudomonadota; Gammaproteobacteria; Enterobacterales; Enterobacteriaceae. The record is from RNAcentral.